Molecule: long non-coding RNA, 1156 nt
Organism: Peromyscus maniculatus bairdii (prairie deer mouse)
Lineage: Eukaryota; Metazoa; Chordata; Mammalia; Rodentia; Cricetidae
Source: RefSeq, a predicted model, not a curated record
GAGACUGACCACUCUGAGAGAGGGUCUUCCCCUUUAGUUCAUUUCCCUGGAAAUGCUCCCCCAGACAGGCCCACAGGGAUGUCUCCUGGGUUAUUCUGUUUCCUUUCAAGUUGACGGUUGAGAUUAGCCAGACUCCAAGCCAAGGUCAGAUGGUUGAGACUUCCCCUUCAUAGAAGACUGCAGAGGCAGGGGUGCCACGGGCACUUUUAAAGAAUCAAUGAAUGAUAUUUAGAAUAAGUGAAUGAGCUCAGAGCAGAUAAGAAGGCUGUGCCAAAGAUUGAUCUCAGCUCUGGGGAGGGAGCAUUUUCAGAAGGUGAGAGGUGAGCCUCCCAGGAAGACAGCACACCCUAUCCUGCAGAUCAAGUCCCACACACAGUCUCUGGACCUGCUCUCAGAAGAACAGAGCCUGUCUGGAUGCAUUGGUGUCUCAUAGAACCUUUUGUUGUGGAGCAUCACAAAUGAUAGGAAGCUGAUAAAUCAGGUUGGGUUUCCUGAAGAGGGUGAACUUUGAAGGUGGCAAUGACAGACCCAGAUAGUCUCAGGAACCAGGAAAUAAGCUGAAGGUUCUCUUGCUGUUUGACAGCAAAGCAAAUGAGCUAUGUCCAGUGAAGAAUGAAAGCACAACCCAGAGCCUCGCAUUGCUCACUGCCUCUGUUUAAUCGUGCGUAACUCCCUGAGUCAUCGAAGAAGACAUUGAGAGUGAAGGGAGAGAUGUGCACAUCUCCUUGGUUUCUUGAUGGACUCCAUCUGGCUCUGGAGAGGUUUCUUUUCAAGAGGUGCGGUGGUAAGCAAGGACAGUCAUGAUAUUGAGAGGCACAAUGAGCAUGAGUCCCCAAGAUGAUGGAAAAAGUGGGGCUUCUUUGUAUUUCUAGGUGCAGUUCUAGAGGCAGUAAGGAAUGUGAACACCUAGCCUCAGUGGCUGAUGCUAUGAAUGGAUUCCUUCUCAGCUCUGUCACUCAGUUCUGUGACUUUGGCAAGCUCACUCUCCUGGGCUCACAACAUCCCUCUCUACAAAGACAAGAUAAUGGAGCAACUUGGGGGCCCUGAGGCUUAAUUAUUGUUUGCAGAGGACUUGAAUAUUCUUGGAUGAAUGAUGCAAUCAAGGUGCUGUGCAAAAUAUUAUCAUUUUGCAUGUCAGUUAGUGAGAUGGCUUACA